UGCAAGUCGAGCGGACAGAUGGGAGCUUGCUCCCUGAUGUUAGCGGCGGACGGGUGAGUAACACGUGGGUAACCUGCCUGUAAGACUGGGAUAACUCCGGGAAACCGGGGCUAAUACCAGAUGCUUGAUUGAACCGCAUGGUUCAAUUAUAAAAGGUGGCUUUUAGCUACCACUUACAGAUGGACCCGCGGCGCAUUAGCUAGUUGGUGAGGUAACGGCUCACCAAGGCGACGAUGCGUAGCCGACCUGAGAGGGUGAUCGGCCACACUGGGACUGAGACACGGCCCAGACUCCUACGGGAGGCAGCAGUAGGGAAUCUUCCGCAAUGGACGAAAGUCUGACGGAGCAACGCCGCGUGAGUGAUGAAGGUUUUCGGAUCGUAAAACUCUGUUGUUAGGGAAGAACAAGUACCGUUCGAAUAGGGCGGUACCUUGACGGUACCUAACCAGAAAGCCACGGCUAACUACGUGCCAGCAGCCGCGGUAAUACGUAGGUGGCAAGCGUUGUCCGGAAUUAUUGGGCGUAAAGCGCGCGCAGGCGGUUUCUUAAGUCUGAUGUGAAAGCCCCCGGCUCAACCGGGGAGGGUCAUUGGAAACUGGGGAACUUGAGUGCAGAAGAGGAGAGUGGAAUUCCACGUGUAGCGGUGAAAUGCGUAGAGAUGUGGAGGAACACCAGUGGCGAAGGCGACUCUCUGGUCUGUAACUGACGCUGAGGCGCG
Molecule: ribosomal RNA, 718 nt
Filed under: uncultured Bacillus sp.
Lineage: Bacteria; Bacillati; Bacillota; Bacilli; Caryophanales; Bacillaceae
Description: bacterial SSU rRNA
Rfam family: Bacterial small subunit ribosomal RNA
Source: RNAcentral